Panicum virgatum (switchgrass) is the source of this 1473-nucleotide long non-coding RNA. RefSeq lists it as uncharacterized. The transcript is spliced from 3 exons. The record is from RefSeq and is a predicted model, not a curated record. NCBI's taxonomy places the organism in Eukaryota, Viridiplantae, Streptophyta, Magnoliopsida, Poales, Poaceae.
GCCGCCACCGUAGUCUUCUCCAUCCCGAGCACCGGCGUGCACCGGCGAACGGGAGCAGGGGCGGAUCUAGAAGCUGAAGAUUGGGGGGUGCUCGUCUUUCCUUUCUUCCUCCUCUUCCUUCCCUUUCUCUUCUUCUUCCUCCUCCUUUCUUCCUCCUCCCUUUCAACUAUGACUGGAAAUUGUAGAGGGGGCUUGGGGGGCUCCCAUGGACUUCAUGGAGUUAAGGGGGGUGCUGGAGCCCCCUCAGCCCCCCUGUGGAUCCGCCACUGAAUGGGAGAGCAGGUCUCCGGAACCUUUCGUCUUUGGGAUCCUGCACCAGGAGAGGACGAAUAAAGUUUUGGGAAGCGCCCGGCGCGACUGCUCGAUGAUCUUCGCCACGGCUCAUCCUCCGUCCAAAUCUAGUGCUGCGGUGUAUCGUCGCCUGCGACGUCGUCUGUUGCUCUCCGUUCGUACGACCACUGUCGUCCCGUCAGCGCCGUUCGUCUUCCCGAAGGCAAAAGCUCAAUUGGUCUGGCCUCCUCACCGUUGAUGCAAUUGGUGCAGCCAGCCGGAGGUAACUCCCUGUUCAGUUUUGUUGAGCGGUCAUUCUCCCGAUUGCCCUGUACACCGAAGCCGCUGAGCUUGCCUUCGUCAAUUUGCUUGGGGAGUAUCUCCGCCUACUCAGCCUGCAGUUCCGGUCGGCCGCUGCGCCCUGCGCUAGCUGGGUAGGACGAGGAGUUUGUCCUCCUCGCCGCCCUCGUCAUCGAGAACACCCCUUCCGCGAGCCCCACUGCAAGAAGCGGGCCUCCACCACCUCCGCCGCCGCUGUUGGCAGGUCCAGAUCCAGCACCAGGUAAAUAUUUGUUCGACGGGGCGUCGUCUCGGGUGAUGGGCAAUCUCGAGUGCCAGGUGGCAGCACCAAAUCCACAAUAGGAUCGGACAAGAGUGCCUCUGUGUGUUGCAGUUGCGUCCACACACACAUCACGCAGAUGAAUUGAACCCUAUUGUCUGCUGCGCCUAUUUGUGUAGGUGUGUUUUCUGAUUCUUUAAUUUUUUUCCCAAUGCAACCACAUAUGGAGUUCUAAAAUUUUGCAGAAAUUUCUUGAUACAUGAGAAUGCCAUUAUCUGUAGUUGCUCCACAAAUUGUUACUAAUCCAUGACUUGGGGAAGUGGUAUAGCAAUCAGUCAUAUAGAUUAUUUAUCUAUAAUAAUGGUAGCCUAGACCGGCAGUACUUGCUGUAUGAAUCGGCAGUUUUUUGAGGUGAUGAGCGCAUUGAUCCAAAUUUCAAUUGGCUCUACAUUGUUUUCCUAUCACGGUUGUUCACUACCUUGAUGUUGCUGCAAGUGCCAGUGAAGAUGCAGCAUGGCAAUAGAUGGGAUGCAUAGUGUGCUGGUUGACCAAGGCUGGUUGCGGUAAGGUGGUGAACAUUAGUCGCAAUAUGUAGCUUUUAACAAAAAAAAAGAAAGGAAAUGCUUCCAUGGUUGAAAUAGUUA